RNAcentral lists this unclassified non-coding RNA (178 nucleotides) under Pseudomonas benzenivorans. Its description in RNAcentral is "Pseudomonas sRNA P29". The record is from RNAcentral. Lineage: Bacteria; Pseudomonadati; Pseudomonadota; Gammaproteobacteria; Pseudomonadales; Pseudomonadaceae.
AAGCACUGAGGGGAGCCGUGGCUCCCCUCAAAUAAUUGCUGCGUGCUUUGUUUUUGUUAUUGAACGAUCUGUUGUUGUUUUUAGCGAUCUGCUCAAGGGCAAACGUAUUUUUUUGGACGCCGGUGUUGCCAUUGUCGCCAGGGACUCAACCAGUGCACGAGCUACCUUCAGGGUAGUU